AGCAGCCGCGGUAAUUCCAGCUCCAAUAGCGUAUAUUAAAGUUGUUGCAGUUAAAAAGCUCGUAGUUGAAUUUCGGGAUCAAUAUGUCGGUCGUGCCUUCGGUACGUACUGGUAUCAUUGGUCUCUCCUUUCUGACGAACCAUGAUGUCAUUAAUUUGGUGUUAUGGGGAGUUAGGACUGUUACUUUGAAAAAUUGAGUGUUUAAAGCAGGCUUUAGCUUGAAUACAUUAGCAUGGAAUAAUGAAAUAGGACGUUCGAACCUAUUUUGUUGGUUUCUAGGAUCAACGUAAUGAUUAAUAGGGAUAGUUGGGGGCAUUAGUAUUCAAUUGUCAGAGGUGAAAUUCUUGGAUUUAUUGAAGACUAACUACUGCGAAAGCAUUUGCCAAGGAUGUUUUCAUUAAUCAAGAACGAAAGUUAGGGGAUCGAAGACGAUCAGAUACCGUCGUAGUCUUAACCAUAAACUAUGCCGACUAGGGAUCGGAUGAUGUUAAUUUUUAAUGACUCAUUCGGCGCCUUACGG
This 520-nucleotide unclassified non-coding RNA is filed under the name uncultured Glomus. Its description in RNAcentral is "SSU rRNA". It matches the Rfam family "Eukaryotic small subunit ribosomal RNA", at positions 569 to 1093 of the family's 1831-position model. The record is from RNAcentral. Lineage: Eukaryota; Fungi; Glomeromycota; Glomeromycetes; Glomerales; Glomeraceae.